Physeter macrocephalus (sperm whale) is the source of this 735-nucleotide long non-coding RNA. RefSeq lists it as uncharacterized. The record is from RefSeq and is a predicted model, not a curated record. NCBI's taxonomy places the organism in Eukaryota, Metazoa, Chordata, Mammalia, Artiodactyla, Physeteridae. The transcript has 2 exons.
UCAAAAGUUAACGCAGUAUUUUUUUUCUCCAUGUCCUCGCCCGUGGAUAUUAAGGAAGGCUUCUAUUACAGGACAUAGUUCUGAGCAUUCUGGAACGUUCCGAUGCUAGGUGAAGCUGCCAGCACAGAGCUCUGCCCCUUUGGGCAGGAAAGGGAGGCGGGGGUUGGAAACAGAAACUGCCCUAAAUCAUAGCCAAUGCGAUUUCAUUCCAGAAAAGACACGUUUUGGAGGACGCAGGAUUCCGACUUCUGGCACCUGCACUUGCCUGUGUCAGAAACCCCUCCUCCAUGACCCCCAUCCUUCCUACACAGUAAAUGCUGAUGGACUUAAGUCAUCUCUGAGACAACACUGAGUCAUCAGAGUUUAAAGAGAAAUGCAGGAGUGUCGCGUAGAACACUGAGCAUUCUCUGAAGAAAAACGGCCCUAGAUCCGUGGCAGAUGUUUCAUGACUUCUCAAAAGGAUGUGGACUUAUUUUAUAAAUGGAAGAAUUUUUUAAUCAAGUCAUAAGACGGGAUGUAUAAACUCCAUUAUUGAUUACAUGCUCGUAGGAUUAGACUUCCUUCCUUCCCUCAGGUUUCUGUGGGGUAAUUUAAUCUAAACUCUUACUUUGUAUUUUUUUUUCUUUUAUUACUUCAUAUGACAGUACAUUGUUGGAGGCACAAGUUGAAUAGCAUAAUUGUUUUUUCUUCCCAAGACAAAAAAAAAAUGGGCUUUUUGUUCAAGCAGGUAAUAAU